UACGAAGGGGGCUAGCGUUGCUCGGAAUCACUGGGCGUAAAGGGUGCGUAGGCGGGUCUUUAAGUCAGGGGUGAAAUCCUGGAGCUCAACUCCAGAACUGCCCUUGAUACUGAGGAUCUUGAGUUCGGGAGAGGUGAGUGGAACUGCGGGUGUAGAGGUGAAAUUCGUAGAUAUUCGCAAGAACACCAGUGGCGAAGGCGGCUCACUGGCCCGAUACUGACGCUGAGGCACGAAAGCGUGGGGAGCAAACAGG
RNAcentral lists this ribosomal RNA (253 nucleotides) under uncultured bacterium. RNAcentral describes it as "partial 16S ribosomal RNA". It matches the Rfam family "Bacterial small subunit ribosomal RNA", at positions 524 to 776 of the family's 1533-position model. The record is from RNAcentral.